Protopterus annectens (West African lungfish) is the source of this 470-nucleotide non-coding RNA. Lineage: Eukaryota; Metazoa; Chordata; Ceratodontiformes; Protopteridae. The record is from the annotation of a RefSeq genome assembly.
CUUGAACUCACUGACAUCUCUUCAUACUGUUUAUGAUGAACCGAGUUCUUGUGCUCACCCUGGUAAUAGCAGUUUGGAAAUGUUCCUUUGCCCAGCGUCACCUGACUCAGCCUUCCACGAUGUCAGUAACUCAUGGUGAGACUGUUAAACUCUCUUGUACCAUCAGUGAGGGCAGCUUAUACAAUACUUUCUGGUACCAGCAGAAACCUGGAUCAGCUCCACGAUUCCUUGUAUACUAUUAUUCUGAUUCUGAUAAAAGCAAAGGUGAAGGUGUCCCUGACCGUUUUUCUGCAACUAAGGAUUCUGCUAAAACAACUGCCAUUUUAACUAUUUCUGGGGUGCUGAUAGAGGAUGAAGCUGAUUAUUACUGUGCUAACUGGCACAGCAGUGACCAACACACAGUGACAGAAUCACAGAGGGAACUAAAACAAAAACCUUCCCCAUCACUGAGUCUGUGCAAACACAUGUAA